Macaca mulatta (Rhesus monkey) is the source of this 295-nucleotide non-coding RNA. Lineage: Eukaryota; Metazoa; Chordata; Mammalia; Primates; Cercopithecidae. The record is from RefSeq and is a predicted model, not a curated record.
UCUCACUUCAACCUUCGCCUCCUGGGUUUAAGUGAUUUUUCUGCCUCAGCCUCCCAAGGAAUUGAAGGAAGAAGAGCUUCUAUGGUGCAAUGAGGAAAGGAGUAUAUCCUGCCCUAAUAUCUUGGAUAUAAAAGCCAUCCACAAAAAAACAAGGAACUAACCUGUCAGGUACUGAGAGGCUUUGAAGAUGGCUCUUCAGGUUGGGGACACGCCUUUGUUAAGGGGCAAGACUGCUGCCUGGAGUUGAUUCACAUACUCAGAGGUAGGAUUGACCACAUAAAGAAAAUGCUUUCAA